This is a long non-coding RNA of Oreochromis niloticus (Nile tilapia), 353 nucleotides long. RefSeq lists it as uncharacterized. The record is from RefSeq and is a predicted model, not a curated record. The transcript is spliced from 3 exons. Lineage: Eukaryota; Metazoa; Chordata; Actinopteri; Cichliformes; Cichlidae.
UGAGCAUACACUGUAAAAAUGUUGGUCUAAUAAUGUCGUGUUAUUUUGUUUCAGAUUUGACCCAGAGGAAGGGGUAGCGGAAUUAAAUUUCAUUCUGAUGUGACACCUGUUGGUGAGGAGAGGUGAACUGAGCAUCAGAACAUUCCACAAUAAGAAGAGAGAAAAGAGAUAACCGAUUGUGAGCAGAAGAGGAAACGUCUGAGCGUCUGCGGUCACGAUGAGAGGUUAAACAUGAAGGAUAAUGUUUUGUUUUGGCUGUGCUGAGGUGUAACAAAAAGAAAAGUGUGCUCACUACAACAGAUCAGUAACCAUGAGGAUUUAAACGCAAACCCAGAAGCAAGCCAACGUUUAAG